Molecule: ribosomal RNA, 506 nt
Filed under: uncultured bacterium
Lineage: Bacteria
Description: partial 16S ribosomal RNA
Rfam family: Bacterial small subunit ribosomal RNA
Source: RNAcentral
AUUGAACGCUGGCGGCAGGCCUAACACAUGCAAGUCGGACGGUAGCACAGGGGAGCUUGCUCCUCGGGUGACGAGUGGCGGACGGGUGAGUAAUGUCUGGGGAUCUGCCCGAUAGAGAGGGAUAACCACUGGAAACGGUGGCUAAUACCGCGUAACGUCGCAAGACCAAAGAGGGGGACCUUCGGGCCUCUCACUUCCGGCUGAACCCAGAUGGGAUUAGCUAGUAGGCGGGGUAACGGCCCACCUAGGCGACGAUCCCUAGCUGGUCUGAGAGGAUGACCAGCCACACUGGAACUGAGACACGGUCCAGACUCCUACGGGAGGCAGCAGUGGGGAAUAUUGCACAAUGGGCGCAAGCCUGAUGCAGCCAUGCCGCGUGUAUGAAGAAGGCCUUCGGGUUGUAAAGUACUUUCAGCGGGGAGGAAGGCGAUGUGGUUAAUAACCGCGUCGAUUGACGUUACCCGCAGAAGAAGCACCGGCUAACUCCGUGCCAGCAGCCGCAGUAA